This 189-nucleotide ribosomal RNA is filed under the name Triticum aestivum (bread wheat). RNAcentral's name for it is "partial small subunit ribosomal RNA". Lineage: Eukaryota; Viridiplantae; Streptophyta; Magnoliopsida; Poales; Poaceae. The record is from RNAcentral.
GAGAUUCACGAAGAAGUAUUGCGCUAUUUACCAGUGAGUGGUAUUAUUGGACUGAUCUUUUGGUGGGAAAUGUUCUUCAUUUUAGAUAAUGAAACCAUUCCAUUACUACCAACCCACAGAAAUACGACCUCUCUGAGAUAUACGGUUUAUGCCGGAAAGGUACGAAGUUGGACUAAUUUGGAAACAUUG